CCUCAGUCAGAAAUUGAAGUUCCCUGCAACGAGUACAUCUCACUCCCCUUGAAGCCCAAGGAUCUGACAAAAGGCUUCUUCCAACAGUGCUGACUGGUUCUCAGGCUGGAUGAAGCCAGUUGUCCAACCUCCAGAAGAAUUUCUCCCAUCUGAGCACCUCCAUCCACACUUUCAACACCUCUGCUGACCUGAGAGGGGGGUUCUAUGUGGUUUUCUACCAUGGAUUCCUUCCUCUCACGGUUGAAAGCUGAGAAGCACAGAGAAAUCUCAAUGACAAAACUGGGGCCAAAACAUCUGCAUCAGUGCCAAGCAGCACCCAAAUCUGAUCAGAAAA
Long non-coding RNA from Pipra filicauda (Wire-tailed manakin), 334 nucleotides. RefSeq lists it as uncharacterized. NCBI's taxonomy places the organism in Eukaryota, Metazoa, Chordata, Aves, Passeriformes, Pipridae. The record is from RefSeq and is a predicted model, not a curated record. The transcript is spliced from 3 exons.